Molecule: microRNA precursor, 139 nt
Filed under: Rhipicephalus microplus (southern cattle tick)
Lineage: Eukaryota; Metazoa; Arthropoda; Arachnida; Ixodida; Ixodidae
Description: microRNA rmi-mir-5331 precursor
Source: miRBase by way of RNAcentral
UGCACGCUGAAGCGUGAACGAAGUGGCGUGUCCAGUUGCCUGCGCCGGUCCCGCAACUGUGAGUCGCUGGGAUCAGUGAGGCUGCAGAUUGGGGCAGCACAGGUCCAGAAAGCAUGACUGCGGCGAUGAGGGCGUAGGU